AUUGAACGCUGGCGGAAUGCUUUACACAUGCAAGUCGAACGGUAGAGGGGGCAACCCCUCGAGAGUGGCGAACGGGUGAGUAAUAUAUCGGAACGUGCCCAGUCGUGGGGGAUAACGUAGCGAAAGUUACGCUAAUACCGCAUACGAUCUACGGAUGAAAGCGGGGGACCGUAAGGCCUCGCGCGAUUGGAGCGGCCGAUGUCAGAUUAGGUAGUUGGUGAGGUAAGGGCUCACCAAGCCGACGAUCUGUAGCUGGUCUGAGAGGACGACCAGCCACACUGGGACUGUGACCCGGCCCAGACUCCUACGGGAGGCAGCAGUGGGGAAUUUGGGACAAUGGGCGCAAGCCUGAUCCAGCCAUUCCGCGUGCAGGACGAAGGCCUUCGGGUUGUAAACUGCUUUUGUACGGAACGAAAAGGCUCUGGUUAAUACCUGGGGCUCAUGACGGUACCGUAAGAGUAAGCACCGGCUAACUACGUGCCAGCCGCCGCAGUAA
RNAcentral lists this ribosomal RNA (496 nucleotides) under uncultured bacterium. RNAcentral's name for it is "partial 16S ribosomal RNA". It matches the Rfam family "Bacterial small subunit ribosomal RNA", at positions 30 to 523 of the family's 1533-position model. The record is from RNAcentral.